AGAUGGAUUGGUGCCUUCGGGAACUCUGACACAGGUGCUGCAUGGUUGUCGUCAGCUCGUGCCGUGAGGUGUCCGGGUUAAGUCCCAUAACGAGCGCAACCCCUAUCAUUAGUUGCCAUCAGGUCAAGCUGGGGACUCUAAUGAAACUGCCUACGCAAGUAGUGAGGAAGCGGGGAUGACGUCAAAUCAGCACGGCCCUUACGUCCAGGGCUACACACGUGCUACAAUGGCCGGUACAGAGCGCAGCUAGGCCGCGAGGCGGAGCGAAUCGCGAAAAGCCGGUCUCAGUACGGAUUGGAGUCUGAAACCCGACUCCAUGAAGUUGGAAUCGCUAGUAAUCGCGCAUCAGCAUGGCGCGGUGAAUACGUUCCCGGGCCUU
RNAcentral lists this ribosomal RNA (379 nucleotides) under uncultured bacterium. RNAcentral describes it as "bacterial SSU rRNA". It matches the Rfam family "Bacterial small subunit ribosomal RNA", at positions 1004 to 1382 of the family's 1533-position model. The record is from RNAcentral.